GAUGGUCCCGGGGUGCAGUUGAUGGUGAAGAGGCACACACCACUUAGUGAAUGAGUGGAAGCCUUUGGUGAAAGGCAGAGUUUGUCCAUGACACAGAUCAGAUUCCACUUUGACUGGGGCCAAUCAGUGAAACAGACACAUCUGCAGAACUGGAAACAGAGGACAAAGAUUCAGUUGAUGUGUUCCAGAAGCAGACUGGAGUGUCUACUGA
Molecule: long non-coding RNA, 211 nt
Filed under: Homo sapiens (human)
Lineage: Eukaryota; Metazoa; Chordata; Mammalia; Primates; Hominidae
Description: non-protein coding lnc-C16orf58-8:1
Source: RNAcentral